AGAAAGUGACAGUUUUUUGGGGGUUCUUUGAGAUAUAUAUAGAGAAUUGAGCUCCUAUAUAUGCUUUUAAAAGUAUCAAGUUAUUAGUACUUGUAGAUUUUUGGCCAUUGAAUUAAGAAAUGUGCGGUUAGGAUGAUAUGGGCCGGCUCCUUAGGGUUGAUGAGUGGGUAGUUGGUUGAAUAGUAUAAUCUAACCGACAAAAAUGAUCAAAGAUAUAGAUCUAACAGCAAAAAAUUUAUAAGUACAAGUGCUUGGUGCUUUUGUAAGUACCGUAGCCGGACUCUCUCUCUCUCUCUCUCUAUAUAUAU
RNAcentral lists this long non-coding RNA (308 nucleotides) under Ananas comosus (pineapple). Its description in RNAcentral is "long non-coding RNA (ACOM_LNC029904)". Lineage: Eukaryota; Viridiplantae; Streptophyta; Magnoliopsida; Poales; Bromeliaceae. The record is from RNAcentral.